CAGUCUGCAGAAACGUAUAAAAUUUAUUGCACAACUUGAACUCAACUGCAGUUUAAAACUGUGCCACCAAAUUUUGUUCAAGACAGUUUAACGCGAUGUAUAACUUUUUCAGUGUCGAUUCCUGCCAUUUCUUCUACAAACUGUCGAAGCUUUAAGCCUCUAUUACAUUCACUUCAAGCCGAAGUAUAUUCAAAAACAUUACGAAAAUGGAAAAAACAUCCACAAAGUGCUUUAUAUUUUGCAGGUUUUUGAUCGCUUAUUAAGGACACUCCCUGUUCGACCAAACAAGUCAUGGCUGAUUUUCCAAAGCCCCACAACAGCGAACGUCUGCAGUAACGGGAAUGAAGACCGAAAAUAAAAAUUUCAUUCGUUUCCUUUCAA
Long non-coding RNA from Dendroctonus ponderosae (mountain pine beetle), 381 nucleotides. RefSeq lists it as uncharacterized. The record is from RefSeq and is a predicted model, not a curated record. NCBI's taxonomy places the organism in Eukaryota, Metazoa, Arthropoda, Insecta, Coleoptera, Curculionidae. The transcript is spliced from 2 exons.